GGAUCCAGACUUUGAUCAUGGCUCAGGAUGAACGCUAGCUACAGGCUUAACACAUGCAAGUCGAGGGGAAACGACAUCGAAAGCUUGCUUUUGAUGGGCGUCGACCGGCGCACGGGUGAGUAACGCGUAUCCAACCUGCCCACCACUUGGGGAUAACCUUGCGAAAGUAAGACUAAUACCCAAUGAUAUCUCUAGAAGACAUCUGAAAGAGAUUAAAGAUUUAUCGGUGAUGGAUGGGGAUGCGUCUGAUUAGCUUGUUGGCGGGGUAACGGCCCACCAAGGCUACGAUCAGUAGGGGUUCUGAGAGGAAGGUCCCCCACAUUGGAACUGAGACACGGUCCAAACUCCUACGGGAGGCAGCAGUGAGGAAUAUUGGUCAAUGGACGAGAGUCUGAACCAGCCAAGUAGCGUGCAGGAUGACGGCCCUAUGGGUUGUAAACUGCUUUUAUAAGGGAAUAAAGUGAGUCUCGUGAGGCUUUUUGCAUGUACCUUAUGAAUAAGGACCGGCUAAUUCCGUGCCAGCAGCCGCGGUAAUACGGAAGGUCCGGGCGUUAUCCGGAUUUAUUGGGUUUAAAGGGAGCGUAGGCCGGAGAUUAAGCGUGUUGUGAAAUGUAGACGCUCAACGUCUGCACUGCAGCGCGAACUGGUUUCCUUGAGUACGCACAAAGUGGGCGGAAUUCGUGGUGUAGCGGUGAAAUGCUUAGAUAUCACGAAGAACUCCGAUUGCGAAGGCAGCUCACUGGAGCGCAACUGACGCUGAAGCUCGAAAGUGCGGGUAUCGAACAGGAUUAGAUACCCUGGUAGUCCGCACGGUAAACGAUGGAUGCCCGCUGUUGGUCUGAAUAGGUCAGCGGCCAAGCGAAAGCAUUAAGCAUCCCACCUGGGGAGUACGCCGGCAACGGUGCAACUCAA
This 912-nucleotide ribosomal RNA is filed under the name uncultured Bacteroidota bacterium. RNAcentral describes it as "bacterial SSU rRNA". It matches the Rfam family "Bacterial small subunit ribosomal RNA", at positions 1 to 904 of the family's 1533-position model. The record is from RNAcentral. Lineage: Bacteria; Pseudomonadati; Bacteroidota.